RNAcentral lists this microRNA (23 nucleotides) under Caenorhabditis brenneri. Lineage: Eukaryota; Metazoa; Nematoda; Chromadorea; Rhabditida; Rhabditidae. The record is from RNAcentral.
CAUGACACUGAUAAAUAGUUUGA